CCCUCCCUCUGGCGGCAUGCCUAACACAUGCAAGUCGAACGAGACCUUCGGGUCUAGUGGCGCACGGGUGCGUAACGCGUGGGAACCUGCCCUUAGGUUUGGAAUAACUCCCCGAAAGGGGUGCUAAUACCGGAUAAUGUCUUCGGCCCAAAGAUUUAUUGCAUUUGGGUGGGCCAGAGUUGGAUUAGCUAGUUGGUAGGGUAAAAGCCUACCAAGGCGACGAUCCAUAGCUGGUUUGAGAGGAUGAUCAGCCACACUGGGACUGGGACACGGCCCAGACUCCUACGGGAGGGAGGAGUGGGGAAUAGUGGACAACGGGGUAAGGGCUGAUCCAGCUAGGCCGGGUAAGUGAUGAAAGCCGUAAGGUUGUAAAGCGCUUUUAACCGUGAUGAUAAUGACAGUACCGGGAGAAUAAGCUCCGGCUAACUCCGUG
RNAcentral lists this ribosomal RNA (433 nucleotides) under uncultured bacterium. RNAcentral's name for it is "partial 16S ribosomal RNA". It matches the Rfam family "Bacterial small subunit ribosomal RNA", at positions 36 to 507 of the family's 1533-position model. The record is from RNAcentral.